Molecule: long non-coding RNA, 221 nt
Organism: Bradysia coprophila
Lineage: Eukaryota; Metazoa; Arthropoda; Insecta; Diptera; Sciaridae
Source: RefSeq, a predicted model, not a curated record
AAUUACUCACCUUACAGUGGGAGAAUUAUAAGAAGUUACAUGUUCAACAAUUACAAUCCAAUCGACGUUCUUCAUUCCACAUGAGAUUUACACUGUGUAAUACAUAUACAUACGUAAAUGUCGUAACGUUGGUAAUGCAUGUGGAAUGAAUAGCGUCGAUUGGAUUGUAAUUGUUACUUCUUAUAAUUCCGAGACUGUACCAAAUACCAUAAAAUUCUUUU